UUGCAGCCAUAUCAUGUUGAAACACUCGUUCUCGUACAAUCACCGAAGUUAAGCAAUGUCGAGCCUGGUCAAUACCUAGAUGGGUGACCGCUUGAGAAUGUCAGGUGUUGUAAG
Non-coding RNA from Acanthosepion pharaonis, 114 nucleotides. NCBI's taxonomy places the organism in Eukaryota, Metazoa, Mollusca, Cephalopoda, Sepiida, Sepiidae. The record is from the annotation of a GenBank genome assembly.